CUGUAAUCUCCCAGCUGGCUUCACAAGGGAUAACACCAAAGGUGUUCUCUCAUUGCUUAAAAGGAGAUGAUGCUGGUGGUGGUGUAUUAGUUCUUGGAGAAAUUGUGGAGCCAAAUAUUGUUUAUACUCCACUUGUCCCAUCACAGCCUCAUUAUAAUUUAAAUCUACAGAGCAUUUCUGUUAAUGGCCAAACUUUAGCCAUUAAUCCAUCAGUUUUUGCAACAUCAACCAGUCAGGGAACAAUAGUUGAUUCUGGAACAACCUUGGCAUAUCUUUCUGAAGCAGCUUAUGGUCCUUUUGUCAAUGCUAUUACAUCUAUUGCUUCACAAAAUGCACGCACAUAUCUUUCUAAGGGAAAUCAAUGUUACUUAGUCACCACCAGUAUUAAUGAUGUAUUUCCUCAAGUUAGUUUCAACUUUGCUGGAGGUGCAUCCUUGAUUUUAAAUCCUCAGGACUACCUUCUACAGCAAAAUUCUGUUGGUGGAGCUGCAGUAUGGUGCAUUGGCUUUCAAAAAACUCCAGGUCAAGAAAUUACUAUCUUAGGAGAUCUUGUUCUAAAAGACAAAAUCUUUGUUUAUUGCUAAUCAACGGCUUGGAUGGACUAAUUAUGAUUGUUCCAUGUCUGUAAAUGUCUCUACAACUACAAAUACUGGCAAAAGCGAGUUUGUCAAUGCAGGUGAGAUCAGUAACAACAGUUCACCAAGGAAUGUGCCUCACAAGCUGAUACCAAUAACCAUGAUAACUCUCCUUCUGCGCAUGUUUACGCUUGGAACUUACUGGUUUUUAUAACAUACCCUGAACUACCAUUCUUUCUUUGUAAUGCUCUUGCUGGUUUAUAUUUAUUGAAACUGGCAGAGCCACGCAGUCUUUAGUUCUUUCUGAGUGUGCAAUAGCUUGGGAGUCUGAAUCUUUAGUGAGCUCU
Molecule: unclassified non-coding RNA, 922 nt
Filed under: Hevea brasiliensis (rubber tree)
Lineage: Eukaryota; Viridiplantae; Streptophyta; Magnoliopsida; Malpighiales; Euphorbiaceae
Source: RNAcentral